Molecule: ribosomal RNA, 221 nt
Filed under: Campeiostachys nutans
Lineage: Eukaryota; Viridiplantae; Streptophyta; Magnoliopsida; Poales; Poaceae
Description: Elymus nutans partial small subunit ribosomal RNA
Rfam family: Eukaryotic small subunit ribosomal RNA
Source: RNAcentral
GGAUUGACACAUCGGUCGUGCCUUAAGGGGUAUGAACUGGUGUAGUCAAUUUCUCACCUUCUGGAGAACCGCGAUGCCCUUAAUUGGGUGUCACGGGGAACCAGGACCAUUACUUUGAAAAAAUUAGAGUGUUUAAAGCAGACUAUCGUCUGAAUACAUUAGCAUGGAAUAAUGAAAUAGGACGGACUGAUUCUAUUUCGUUGGUUUCUAGGAUCACCGUA